UUUUCACCAUUGCUGGUGAGUAAAUGAUAACAACAUUUUAAUUUUUUGGGGUGAACUAUCCCUUUAAAAGCAUUUCAGUGAACGUUUCAG
Sinocyclocheilus anshuiensis is the source of this 90-nucleotide long non-coding RNA. RefSeq lists it as uncharacterized. The record is from RefSeq and is a predicted model, not a curated record. Lineage: Eukaryota; Metazoa; Chordata; Actinopteri; Cypriniformes; Cyprinidae. The transcript has 3 exons.